UGGGGAAUAUUGGACAAUGGGCGCAAGCCUGAUCCAGCCAUGCCGCGUGAGUGAUGACGGCCUUAGGGUUGUAAAGCUCUUUCGUCCGGGACGAUAAUGACGGUACCGGAAGAAGAAGCCCCGGCUAACUUCGUGCCAGCAGCCGCGGUAAUACGAAGGGGGCUAGCGUUGUUCGGAAUCACUGGGCGUAAAGGGCGCGUAGGCGGCUUUAUAAGUCGGGGGUGAAAGCCUGUGGCUCAACCACAGAAUUGCCUUCGAUACUGUAGGGCUCGAGACCGGAAGAGGUUAGUGGAACUGCGAGUGUAGAGGUGAAAUUCGUAGAUAUUCGCAAGAACACCAGUGGCGAAGGCGGCUCACUGGCCUGGUAUUGACGCUGAGGUGCGAAAGCGUGGGGAGCAAACA
RNAcentral lists this ribosomal RNA (402 nucleotides) under uncultured Microvirga sp. Its description in RNAcentral is "bacterial SSU rRNA". It matches the Rfam family "Bacterial small subunit ribosomal RNA", at positions 355 to 774 of the family's 1533-position model. The record is from RNAcentral. Lineage: Bacteria; Pseudomonadati; Pseudomonadota; Alphaproteobacteria; Hyphomicrobiales; Methylobacteriaceae.